Globicephala melas (long-finned pilot whale) is the source of this 2389-nucleotide long non-coding RNA. RefSeq lists it as uncharacterized. NCBI's taxonomy places the organism in Eukaryota, Metazoa, Chordata, Mammalia, Artiodactyla, Delphinidae. The record is from RefSeq and is a predicted model, not a curated record.
GGUCCUGUACAGAGCUCAGCUGCAGGCUGACCUAGCAGCCGAUCACAAACCACGCAGGCUCCCUUUAUCUUCCUUUUGAGUGGCUCACGUCGCCUUGGGACCGGACACCGAGGGUUCCCGCAGACUACUGGUCCCUCUCCUCCUGCCCUGUGCCCUUACUCUGAGUCUGGGAGGAAAGCCGCGCGACUUCCCCGGGAGACCCAGGGCCACAGGCCGGGAGUGGAGGAAGCGGCUGGGAGCUGUCCAUGGUGGCUCCGCGCCUGGGCACGCAGAGCCGCCGGCUCCCGCCCCCGGGCGCGCCCGGGAUAACGCUCCAGACCGCCGGAAUGGAGAGACAGACUCGCUCCCAGGCUGCAGCCAGGCACUGGCUCACACAUCAAAAGGUUAGUUUAAAAAGGGAGUUCUCACCUGUGGGCAGCGUUGGCUGCAUGAAGCAGGACUCAGGACCUCAGAUCCGGCUCCUGGCGGCGCGCCGGGGACGGCAGUAGUGUUGGACCCUUGGGGAACGGCGGCCGUCUCUGAGAACGCGGUCAGCGAGUCUGCGGCGGAGGACCUCGGCGCACUGAGCUCCUUUCUCAAGAGCACAUGCGUCCGGCCGGGUCCAUUCCAGAAUGUCUCUGGCCCUGGUUCCCAGAGCGGCGAGCUGGAGACCUGGCCACGGCCCUGGCCUGCGCUCCACCAGGUCCCUGACUUUCUUCCCAACCUAAUAUGACCUUUCUUGGAGCUGACGACCCUUGCCAGGGACCGCCGAACCCUCUUGCAGCGAUGGCAGGUUGGGGCUCUCAGCCUAAACAGCAGUAGGGGCCCUCGUGUCAUCUAAUAUUCAAUUGCCUCCACCCGUCGCGUGCCAGAGCGAUGCUGGGUGCCUAGCGCCGUCGGGGAGUGCGCGAGCGUGUAGGCAGCGGGAGGCGGAGGGAAACACCAGAAGGAAGACCGUGCUGAAGGCCGAGCAGCAGGGCGCAGACCUGUUGCCAGAUGCAUGCCCACUCAUGCACAGUGUGAGACGGCUCCUUAUGGGCUGGACUCCGCGACCUGACCCUCGGAGCAGUCCCUCCUCGGCAAGACACUGUUUGGGGCGCAAGCCCCCCCCCGAGACAUUCAGAACGGGGGAACUCUAAGGAAAACGGGUAUCUGCCCCCGGCUGGAUGCGCUCCGGGGACACUGGAGCCCCUGGCACCUGCUGCUUCCAAAGGCUCACACGACCUCAGAGAAAUCCCACAGCGGACAGAGACAAGGACGUGUGCCCCUCAACAGACACGUGGACAGACAGACAGAGGCGGACCGCACAGCACUGAGUGGACAAACAGAAGCCAAUGACGGGGGUCGCCCUUGGACACCAAGCCUGAAGCUGGCAUCCGAAAAGGGAAAUUCCCAGCCAUGGGCCCUGGGGCCAGAUUUCCAAGACUCGUAACUGCUCAGUUCCUGUUUUGUUGGAUGCCGAUGAGGUUGCCCAGCUGAGGAGAGACAAGUCCUCAGUUUUUCUGGUGUCAGCGGCUGUCAUCUCGGACUAAAUCCAAUUUUCUGCAUGGGGUGCUGAAGGAAGAGGCCUCUGCUCUAUAUCUGAAGCAAAAAGCUGGAUUCAUCAUUUGCAAGGCAGUGAACACGGCAGACUGCGGAUCUCCUGUGGAGUAUUUGGGAAGUGUGGGGCUGGGGAUUAGACGACUCUUCACAGCGGGAGUAUUCAGGCAUUAAGUGACCUUUAGCGAAGGCAGCUUGGCCACCGGAGCAAGGCUGUUGCUGAUUGGCCCUCAGAAGCAUGUGUACUGACCAGAGGAAGCUGUCCUCGGGACUCCUGGUUACUUGUUCCAGUGGCCAAAGAACAGUGAGUCUUUUCUUGAACGGGAGGAUAGGAACUGUUCUCGGUAGGAUCCCUUUUUUAUUUAAAUGUCAAAUAAUCCAGCUCAGAGAUUUUCAAACUUUACCAUGAAUCAAAUCCGAUCACCCAGAGGGCUUGUUAGAGCAGACCGUUGGGCCCCUCUCCUGCAGAGUGUCUGAUUAGGUAGGUCUGGGAUGGGAGCCAAGAAUCUGCACUUCUAAUGAGUUCCCAGGUGAUGCUGAUGCUCUGGUCCAGGGACCACACUUUGAGAACCACUGGUCCAGUAUCAUCGGAGUUGUAGUUAAUUAUUUGCUGUUAAGAAAAUAUUUAGGGGCUUCCCUGGUGGCGCAGUGGUUGAGAAUCUGCCUGCCAAUGCAGGGGACACGAGUUCGAGCCCCCGUCUGGGAAGAUCCCACAUGCCGCGGAGCAACUAGGCCCGUGAGCCACAACUACUGAGCCUGUGCGUCUGGAGCCUGUGCUCCGCAACAAGAGAGGCCACGACAGUGAGAGGCCCGCGCACCACGAUGAAGAGUGGCCGCUGCUCGCCGCAACUAGCGAAAGCCCUCGCACAGA